This 465-nucleotide ribosomal RNA is filed under the name uncultured bacterium. RNAcentral describes it as "partial 16S ribosomal RNA". It matches the Rfam family "Bacterial small subunit ribosomal RNA", at positions 28 to 507 of the family's 1533-position model. The record is from RNAcentral.
GACGAACGCUGGCGGCGUGCUUAACACAUGCAAGUCGAACGGAAAGGCCCCUUUUGGGGUACUCGAGUGGCGAACGGGUGCGUAACACGUGAGUAACCUGCCCUUGACUUCGGGAUAACUUCAUGAAACUGGGGCUAAUACCGGAUAGGAAUCCUUGCUGCAUGGUUGGGGUUGGAAAGCUUCGGCGGUUUUGGAUGGACUCGCGGCUUAUCAGCUUGUUGGUGGGGUAGUGGCUUACCAAGGCUUUUACGGGUAGCCGGCCUGAGAGGGCGACCGGCCACAUUGGGAAUUGGAUACGGCCCAGAAUCCUACGGGAGGCAGCAGUGGGGAAUAUUGCACAAUGGGCGGAAGGCUGAUGCAGCAAAGCCGCGUGCGGGAUGACGGCCUUCGGGUUGUAAACCGCUUUCAGCAGGGGAGAAGCUUGUGGUGACGGUACCUGCAGAAGAAGCACCGGCUAACUACGUG